Molecule: ribosomal RNA, 431 nt
Filed under: uncultured bacterium
Lineage: Bacteria
Description: partial 16S ribosomal RNA
Rfam family: Bacterial small subunit ribosomal RNA
Source: RNAcentral
AACGAACGCUGGCGUCAGGCUUAACACAUGCAAGUCGAACGCCCCGCAAGGGGAGUGGCAGAAGGGUUAGUAACGCGUGGGAACAUACCUUUUUCUACGGAAUAGCUCUGAGAAACUGGAAUUAAUACCGUAUACGCCCUACGUGGGAAAGAUUUAUCGGGGAAGUAUUGGCCCGCGUUGGAUUUGCUAUUUGGUGGGGUAAAGGCUUACCAAGGCGACGAUCCAUAGCUGGUCUGAGAGGAUGAUCAGCCACAUUGGGACUGAGACACGGCCCACACUCCUACGGGAUGCAGCAGUGGGGAAUAUUGGACAAUGGGCGCAAGCCUGAUCCAGCCAUGCCGCGUGAGUGAUGAAGGCCUUAGGGUUGUAAAGCUCGUUCACCGAUGAAGAUAAUGACGGUAGUCGGAGAAGAAGCCCCGGCUAACUUCGUG